This 270-nucleotide long non-coding RNA is filed under the name Nicotiana benthamiana. RNAcentral describes it as "long non-coding RNA (NBEN_LNC011178)". The record is from RNAcentral. Lineage: Eukaryota; Viridiplantae; Streptophyta; Magnoliopsida; Solanales; Solanaceae.
UUUAGUCAAGCAAGACUACAAAUAGGUGAUCACAGAGCGUCGAUGCGGGACAGCUUGGAAAAAUCAGUGCUUUUUCGAGAUUGGAUCCGCGCAUAUAGAAGGAACUUUGGCCUAGCUGAAUCACAACCAGAAAUAGAUGAGUGCUAUGAGAAAUAAUAGCAGAACUUGAUCAGUAAGCAACUUCACCCGGAAGUGGUGAUGAACAAGCUUCAUUUCCACCACCGCCAACACAACCACCUCCAAACCUUGAAGGUUUUAUGAGAUUUGUUA